UACGUAGGUGGCAAGCGUUGUCCGGAUUUACUGGGCGUAAAGCGAACGCAGGCGGAUUGUUAAGUCUAAAGUGAAAGGUCACAGCUCAACUCCAACAGUGCUUUCGAUACUGGAAGACUUGAGUGGAGGAGAGGAAAGGGGAACUACAUGUGUAGCGGUGAAAUGCGUAGAGAUGUGUAGGAACACCCAUGGCGAAAGCGCCCUUCUGGACUGAAACUGACGCUCAGGCACGAAAGCGAAGGUAGCGAACAGG
Molecule: ribosomal RNA, 253 nt
Filed under: uncultured bacterium
Lineage: Bacteria
Description: partial 16S ribosomal RNA
Rfam family: Bacterial small subunit ribosomal RNA
Source: RNAcentral